This 441-nucleotide ribosomal RNA is filed under the name uncultured bacterium. RNAcentral describes it as "partial 16S ribosomal RNA". It matches the Rfam family "Bacterial small subunit ribosomal RNA", at positions 338 to 795 of the family's 1533-position model. The record is from RNAcentral.
CCUACGGGAGGCAGCAGUGGGGGAUAUUGCACAAUGGGGGAAACCCUGAUGCAGCGACGCCGCGUGGGUGAAGAAGUAUUUCGGUAUGUAAAGCCCUAUCAGCAGGGAAGAAAGAAGACGGUACCUGACUAAGAAGCGCCGGCUAACUACGUGCCAGCAGCCGCGGUAAUACGUAGGGGGCGAGCGGUAUCCGGAUGCACUGGGUGUAAAGGGAGCGUAGACGGCCGUGCAAGCCAGGAGUGAAAGCGCGGGGCCCAACCCCGGGACUGCUGUUGAAACUGUGCGGCUGGAGUGCGGGAGGGGCAGGCGGAAUGCGUGGUGUAGCGGUGAAAUGCGUAGAUAUCAGGAGGAACACCGGCGGCGAAGGCGGCCUGCCGGACCGCGACUGACGCUGAGGCUCGAAAGCGUGGGGAGCGAACAGGAUUAGAUACCCCGGUAGUC